GUCGUAAAGUUCUGUUGUUAGGGAAGAACAAGUACCAGAGUAACUGCUGGUACCUUGACGGUACCUAACCAGAAAGCCACGGCUAACUACGUGCCAGCAGCCGCGGUAAUACGUAGGUGGCAAGCGGUGUCCGGAAUUAUUGGGCGUAAAGCGCGCGCAGGUGGUUCCUUAAGUCUGAUGUGAAAGCCCACGGCUCAACCGUGGAGGGUCAUUGGAAACUGGGGAACUUGAGUGCAGAAGAGGAAAGUGGAAUUCCAAGUGUAGCGGUGAAAUGCGUAGAGAUUUGGAGGAACACCAGUGGCGAAGGCGACUUUCUGGUCU
This 321-nucleotide ribosomal RNA is filed under the name Bacillus sp. mrc49. RNAcentral describes it as "bacterial SSU rRNA". It matches the Rfam family "Bacterial small subunit ribosomal RNA", at positions 422 to 735 of the family's 1533-position model. Lineage: Bacteria; Bacillati; Bacillota; Bacilli; Caryophanales; Bacillaceae. The record is from RNAcentral.